Molecule: ribosomal RNA, 561 nt
Filed under: Chaetomium graminiforme
Lineage: Eukaryota; Fungi; Ascomycota; Sordariomycetes; Sordariales; Chaetomiaceae
Description: eukaryotic LSU rRNA
Rfam family: Eukaryotic large subunit ribosomal RNA
Source: RNAcentral
GCAUAUCAAUAAGCGGAGGAAAAGAAACCAACAGGGAUUGCCCCAGUAACGGCGAGUGAAGCGGCAACAGCUCAAAUUUGAAAUCUGGCCUCGGCCCGAGUUGUAAUUUGCAGAGGAAGCUUUAGGCGCGGCACCUUCUGAGUCCCCUGGAACGGGGCGCCAUAGAGGGUGAGAGCCCCGUAUAGUUGGAUGCCUAGCCUGUGUAAAGCUCCUUCGACGAGUCGAGUAGUUUGGGAAUGCUGCUCAAAAUGGGAGGUAAAUUUCUUCUAAAGCUAAAUACCGGCCAGAGACCGAUAGCGCACAAGUAGAGUGAUCGAAAGAUGAAAAGCACUUUGAAAAGAGGGUUAAAUAGCACGUGAAAUUGUUGAAAGGGAAGCGCUUGUGACCAGACUUGCGCCGGGCAGAUCAUCCGGUGUUCUCACCGGUGCACUCUGACCGGCUCAGGCCAGCAUCGGUUCUCGCGGGGGGAUAAAGGCCUCGGGAACGUAGCUCCUCCGGGAGUGUUAUAGCCCGGGGCGUAAUGCCCUCGCGGGGACCGAGGUUCGCGCAUCUGCAAGGAUG